This 497-nucleotide ribosomal RNA is filed under the name uncultured bacterium. RNAcentral's name for it is "partial 16S ribosomal RNA". It matches the Rfam family "Bacterial small subunit ribosomal RNA", at positions 28 to 507 of the family's 1533-position model. The record is from RNAcentral.
GACGAACGCUGGCGGCGUGCCUAAUACAUGCAAGUUGAGCGCUGAAGGUUGGUUCUUGUUCCAACUGGAUGAGCAGCGAACGGGUGAGUAACGCGUGGGACAUCUGCCUUUGAGCGGGGGACAACAUUUGGAAACGAAUGCUAAUACCGCAUACAAACUUUAAACACAAGUUUUAGGUGUGAAGGAUGCAAUUGCAUCACUCAAAGAUGGUCCCGCGUUGUAUUAGCUAGUUGGUGAGGUACAGACUCACCAAGGCGAUGAUACAUACCCGAGCUGAGAGGGCUGACGGCGUCAUCGGGAACGUGAGAACGCCCAAACGGCCACGGGAGGCAGCAGUAGGGAAUGUGCGGAAAAGGACGAAAGGCUGACCGAGCAACGGCGGCGGAGUGAAGAAGGUUAUCGGGUCGUAAAACUUGUUUGGUAGAGAAGAACGUGGGUGAGAGGGGAAAGUUCAUCAAGUGACGGUAACUACUCAGAAAGCGACGGCUAACUACGUG